CUUAUGCUAUAAAUUAUUGGAUUCAUCAGUGGGGGAAGGACACAGUAAGCCAUGGCAACUGAACUGUCGAGACCCACCACAGAUUUGGAAGUUAGUUUUAGGUUGGCGAAGAUGCCAGUGAAAGUAAAUAAGGAGACAACGCUGAGAUGAGGAAUGCAGGUAGAUAAGGCUUUGUCUCUACUCUGUGCCGAAGGAAUUCUGAACACUGUUUUGAAGAUCUCCACAUAGGACACAACUAUGAAACUGAAGCAGCCGAGUCCUAGACAUGCACUCAAGCCCAGAGCCACAGCUUCAACAAGGUACAAGUCAGAACAAGAGAGCUUAAGUAGUUGAGGUAUCUCACAGAAGAACUGAUUGAUGAUGUUGGAACAGAAAGGAACAGCGAAGGUGGCUCCAGUGUGUAAUGUUGCGAAAAGGAGACCACUGAUCCAUGUACUAGUCACCAUUUGGAUGCAGGCUUCCUUAUUCACUACUGUUUCAUAAUGCAAUGGGUCACAAAUGGCAACAUACCGGUCAUACGCCAUGACUGUGAGGAGGAAAAAGUCUGAUGCCAUGAAGAAAAAGAGAAAGAAGACUUGAGCGAUGCACUCCGAAUAAGAUAUCAACCUGGUAUUCAUGAGACAGUUAGCCAUGGCUUUUAGUAUUGUGACUGAGAUGUACCCAAGGUCCAUAACAGACAAAUUUGCCAGGAAGAAGUACAUGGGAUUGUGAAGAUGGGGAUCUGUGACCACAGCCACAAGGAUGAGGAUGUUCCCUAACAAUGCUGCCAUAUAGAUCAGUAGAAAGAUCACAAAAUAUACAAGCUGUAUCUCCCGAACUUCAGAGAAACCUAGGAGGAGGAAUUCCGUAAUGGUGCUUUCAUUGGACAUUUUGUCCUUAAUACAUUUUGCCCUACAAAAAAACAGGCAGCAUAACCAAAGUUAGUAAGGCAGAAUUCUUUUUUCUUACUCAUAUGCCCCCUUUUAAAAGGCUACUUUUAAAGUACACAUUCCUCACAUACAAAAAAAAUUCAUUGCUCCACCCCCCACCCCACCCCUCUAUUUUAAUAGAAAUGGAUUUGGGGGUAGUGGAUGAGAUGUAGCAAAUGUCUGGUUAUUGUAGGUUGACCAGAAAGAAGUACAUAGGAGUGUGGAGUUUGUGGUUCAGGGCAACAGCAAUGGUGAUUAGGAAAUUCCCCACUAAGGCUGUUAAAUAAAUGGAGAGAAAUAUCACAAAGUAAAAAAAAAUCUUCUUCUCGGUCACUGGAAAACCCCAUCAGAAGAAAUUCUCUCACUGUAGACUGGUUGGCCACCUUAAUUCUUUAGUAUUUCUUUAAACAAUUUCUUGAAGAGCAGCUCUGUUAUUGUGUUUUAGCAGCACCAGCAGAGGUGUGUUGCUAAAUGUCUAAAAUUAGAAAGGAGUUAAUGAAAGUCUGUUGGAUGAGGAAACAUGCAGGCAAUUGUAUGUGGGGUUUGCCCCCUAUCCCAAUAUGAGGUAAUGGGUUAUGCCAGCAGUAGACAUUCAACUGACACCAUUCAUUCUCCCCAGUACUAAUAGAAUUUUAGAGUUGUAAAGGAGCAUGGGGAGCAUCUCUGCAAAGACCCAUCUUGGUUUCAUGUUGAAUCAAGAUUGAGAAAGUAGAAUCAAAUAGAAACUACAGCAUACCUUGCUAUUAGAUGUAAAUAAGCAGAUUCACAUUGGUUUGGUUGCAUAAAGGACAUUUACUAUGGUGGGGUUUUUUGGGGGGGGUUUUGCGAACCAUAAUGCUGCUUCUUUAUUUAAAAAAGCAAAUCACAUACCACCUAGCAUUAAUGAAAAAUAAUUUGGCUUUGGUGAGCAUUCAGAAUUUAAGACCAAUCACCAGAAUUUUGAAACACCACUGUAUUAUCUUCUCUUACCUAUAAAUACUACCUAUUUUUUCAUAGAAUAAUCAUGUCUUCAUUUAUCCUACUGCUGUAUUAACAUUUUAUGGUCUUUUCAGAACUGAAAUAUGAGCACUAGAUGUAAAGAAAUUUAAAAAAUCUCCUUGGAGUGUGGUUGCAUAAAGGAACUUUACACUUGAUGUUUUGGUAUUUUUGCUAACCCAAUACUUUAACUUUCUUUUUAAAAAUGCAAACUACACACUUCCUAGCAUUAAUGAAAAAUCAUGAAGCUUUAAAGCCCAAUCACGAGAAUUUUGAAACAACACAUUAUUAUCUUCUCUUACCUAUAAAUGUAAUCACUUUUUAUCAGAGAAAAAUUAUGUUUGCAUUAAUCUUACUGCUGUAAGAGAUCUUUUCAUAACUGAAAUAUAAGCACCUUCCAAGCCCUAGUCUGCACUGAGGAUGAACUAAUAGGAUUCUUUUUUUUUUUUUUAAAUAAUUUUUAUUAAAGUUUUAAACAAAGAGAAAAAAAAAACAACACACAUAAAAAAAACAAUACAAAAUUUAACAAUAAAAACACACAACAUAACAAUUUAAAACAAACUCUCUUUUACAUUCCCAAUUUUAAAUUACUUAUUUUCUGGACUUCCUCAUACCUCCCUCUUUUGUAUUCCAAUCUACAUUAUUUGUCCAGCAAUUUCUUUUCCACUUUUUAAAACCCAAUCUUUAAUUUGAUAAAAUAUUAAACUAUAUAACAUAAGCAUAAUCCUUGUUCUUAAUGUCAUAUACCUUUAAAUUUUUCCCAAUCUUAAUCUUUAAUCUUAAUCUAUCCUAGCUUUAACCUAUACAGCUGGAAACCACUUAUUUUCAAUCCAACAUCACUCUAACAUUCCUUAAUUUUGCAGUAUUUCUGAAGAUAGUCUUUGAAUUUCUUCCAAUCUUCCUCCAUCGACUCUUCUCCCUGGUCACGGAUUCUGCCAGUCAUCUCCGCCAAUUCCAUAUAGUCCAUAAGUUUCAUCUGCCAUUCCUCCAGCGUGGGAAGUUCUUGUGUCUUCCAAUACUUUGCGAUGAGUAUUCUUGCUGCUGUUGUUGCAUACAUAAAGAAAGUUCUAUCCUUUUUUAACACCAUUUGGCCCACUAUGCCCAGGAGAAAGGCCUCUGGUUUCUUGGGAAAGGUAUACUUAAAUACCUUUUUUAAUUCAUUAUAUAUCAUUUCCCAGAAAACCUUAAUCUUUGGGCACGUCCACCAAAGGUGAAAAAAUGUACCUUCAGUUUCUUUACAUUUCCAACAUUUGUUAUCGGGCAAGUGAUAAAUUUUCGCAAGCUUGACUGGGGUUAUGUACCACCUGUAUAUCAUUUUCAUAAUAUUCUCUCUUAAGGCAUUACAUGCCGUAAAUUUCAUACCAGUGGUCCAUAACUGUUCCCAGUCAGCAAACAUAAUGUUAUGUCCUACGUCCUGUGCCCAUUUAAUCAUAGCCGAUUUUACCGUUUCAUCUUGAGUAUUCCAUUUCAGCAGCAAGUUAUACAUUCUGAACUAAUAGGAUUCUACUCACCUCUGUCUUUGUCUGGAAGAAGAAAGUUCCAAAAUGCUGAAGUGUGGUCUUUAGCAAAUGAUUUAUAGUUUGUGAUAAAGAGGAUUCAACUGAGCCUCCCUGCUUUCUGUAGUGUUUCAAAGAAUCACUCCUUGGAGAACAUCACCAUGCGGACUUGCAAAUCCUAAUUUACAAAACAAGUGAUGCAAUUGUGUAUAUUUCCUACCAUUAUUUCCCCUCUAUCUUUAAACCACUGACCCUUAACUUCAGUCUUAUGUAAAGGAUGCUUAAGAGUGACUUGCUGAUGAAUGGAGACAGAAUGGGAAACUGAUUUCAAAAUCUGCUUGGUUGUUAUAUCUUUUUUAUUGACCAAGAUGUCAAGCUGCAACUCGAAUGAAGUACUGAAUCUGAUUAACAUAAGUAAAUUAUUCUGACUAUUCUGAGCCAGUAUAGUGUUGUGCUUAGAGUGUUGGACUAGGACUAGGGAACCCAGGUUCAAAUCUCUGUUCAGCCAUUAAGAUAACUGGGUGACCUUGCGCCAAUUUUCUCAGGCUAAGCUACGUUACAGAACUGUCAUGAGGUUAAACUUGGGAAGGAUGACCCCCAGCUCCUUGGAGGAAAGGGGGGAUAUAAUGACAAUAAGUAAAUAUUGAGAGCAAACCAUCUGAGACAGGUCUAUGAUUUUAAACUGGAGCGAUAGAUUUGGUUAAAGAAACUUGGGAAGGAUCCAAAGCAAAAUGUUAUGCUUUGAAAUAGGAUGUCGGUGUGUUAGGUGUUCACACCUCGGCUGGAGAUGAAUUAGGAAAGGCUGAAGGACUCUAGCUGGAGUGAAGCUGGUUUGAGAAACAAUACUGUUAUGAGUUUCAUUUUUAUUCCUAGAUCCCCUUCUAAUUGCUGGAUCUGGCAAGUGUUAAAAUCUAAGCAAGGAUUUUAUUUCCUGGAAUAGCCUCUGCUGUACCUCAUUCCAAAGGAAACACAAACCCUGUUCAUUUUGAAAUGAUUAACAAUCUCUGCAUUUAAAUUGCACCCAUUUUUUACACUUUCUGAACACACUCCUCCUGUAAAAUACACAUUUUUCAAUUCUUUACAUUUUCAAUUCUUUACAAUUAAUUUCCCUAUUAAACGUCGACUUUGUACAUAAAUACAUUUUGUGAGCACUUCUUGCAUUUGGAAACCUCAUUGCAAGAAGGAUCGGUCGAUCGGUCUUAAAUAUUGAAUCAUGUUGUUGAAUUUAUCAAUGGGCUUGUCCCUACUUUUUCCAGUCCUCACUCCUUUGCCAAUUGCUUCCAUGAUCUUUUGAUGUGAACUACCAACACAGCAAUUUUAUUCAGCAUUAAAUGAGCAGAAAUUUCACAUAUGAUAGAUUUCUGAGAAGUGUGUUGGAUAAUUGCAGCCCCUUCUCUCCCUCCCAUCACAGGUUAUUUUGUUACCAAUAAUCAGCCACAAACAGCACAGGAGAUUUUGGAAGAGCAUUUCACAUCAGCUUUUAUUUCAUUCAAAACCGCUAAGGAGUCUCUUUUACGUUCGAAGCAUUAAUGUCUGGCAUGGAAAACUGUACUUUGACUUUCAUUGCUGGAAUUGGAAGUGCAACCCACUCACAUAUUUAAAGCAAAACUUGUUGUUACUAACCCAACAAAGUAAUGGUCAUUGAAUUCAAGUAACAAUGACUCUGAUGAAUGAAUCAAAAUAGUUAUCAAAAAUUAGUUGCCAAAGGCUUUUAUUUGCACUAUAGGAUUUUUAAAAAUAAAAUAAGAAUAAUUCUGACUUUCUAUCCACAGUCAUAACCUUCAUGACAACUGAAGUUAUAGUAAAUAUAAUUAACUAAAGGUUUAAAAAAAUCUGUUCUAGGAACAAGUCAAUAGAAACUGUAUCUCUUUAUCUCUUUUCAUACGCCACAUGCAGCCUCAGCAGCAAUAACCAGGAAAAAGCAUUUAAAAAGCCCAGAUCAUCCCUGUGGGAUCCAUUUCAUAUGCAUGCUGAAAUGUCAUUAUCUUAGCCUUACAUCUAAAGACAAGCAGAGAUGAAGCCCAAAGAACCUACCAGUAACACCAUGAUCUAGUCUAGUUUAGUCAACAUUACACAAUUGUAUGUGUCUACCCACUUUAUUAAAAAAAAAAGAAAGCAAUGGGACACAGAACAGAACAGGGUCAUAAUGAAGACAUAAGAACAUGGGUAGGUACACUUUAAAUCAUGGGAGCUGACUUGCCCCCCAUAUUGAUGCGUCACAUGAUGGCGCUGGGAGGAGGCAGGAUGCAUGGAGGGUGAUCUGUGCCCUUUGUUCAUCUCAGUCCCCGCCUGGCUCCUGGGUGAGGGCAGGGGCACUCGGAGGGCACCCGGUGGUGGUGGAGGAUGGUUGCCCCCUCAAUAUUGCAGGGCUCAGCCCCCUGCCUACCAAUAUUGAGGGGGCCAAAGCCCCUUCCAGUCCCUAUAUGUGGCGCCCCUGCUUCAAAUCAUCUUGUGUACUAUGUGCCAGUCAGAAACUUCCAUAUCUGACUCAGGGAGUAGAUGUUCCUGUUUGCAUAUUAUGCCACAGACCUAUACAGCCACAUUUUCCUUUGGUAUGCUUUUUCCAGGAUCUGCCAUAGAUUUUCCACAACACUGCUUUGAUCUCCUUGUUUCUCAUGCUAUAAAUUAUUGGAUUCAUCAGUGGGGGAAGGACACAGUAAGCCAUGGCAACUAAACUGUCCAGACCUGCCAGGGAGUUGGAAGUUGGUUUUAGGUUAGCGAAGAUGCCAGUGAAAAGAAAUAAGGAGACAACGCUGAGAUGAGGAAUGCAAGUAGAGAAGGCUUUGUCUCUACUCUGUGCCGAAGGAAUUCUGAACACUGUUUUGAAGAUCUCCACAUAGGACACAACUAUGAAACUGAAGCAGCCGAGUCCUAGACAUGCACUCAAGCCCAGAGCCACAGCUUCAACAAGGUACAAGUCAGAACAAGAGAGCUUAAGUAGUUGAGGUAUCUCACAGAAGAACUGAUUGAUGGUGUUGGAACAGAAAGGAACAGCGAAGGUGGCUCCAGUGUGUAAUGUUGCAUAAAGGAGACCACUGAUCCAUGUACUAGUCACCAUUUGGAUGCAGGCUUCCUUAUUCACUACUGUUUCAUAAUGCAAUGGGUCACAAAUGGCAACAUACCGGUCAUACGCCAUGACUGUGAGGAGGAAAAAGUCUGAUGCCAUGAAGAAAAAGAGAAAGAAGACUUGAGCAAUGCACUCAGAAUAAGAUAUCAACCUGGUGUUCAUGAGACAGUUAGCCAUGGCUUUUAGUAUUGUGACUGAGAUGUACCCAAGGUCCAUAACAGACAAAUUUGCCAGGAAGAAGUACAUGGGAUUGUGAAGAUGGGGAUCUGUGACCACAGCCACAAGGAUGAGGAUGUUCCCUAGCAAUGCUGCCAU
Molecule: non-coding RNA, 6761 nt
Organism: Podarcis lilfordi (Lilford's wall lizard)
Lineage: Eukaryota; Metazoa; Chordata; Lepidosauria; Squamata; Lacertidae
Source: the annotation of a GenBank genome assembly